AAGAUGGCGGCGUUUGCACGGAGUGCAAUCACUGCGUCCUUACGGGGGUUGCAAGGCGUCCGAAGUAUGAGUCCACUAACAAAAGUCCAGAAACUCGCCAGUUAAUAGUAUUGUGUCUCUUCAAAAUAUCGGAGAAUAAUUUCUUUCUCGCUGAUCGCCUAACUUCUACUGACGAAGCUUGGAAGUUGCAGAAGGCUGGAGUGCAAUGGCGCCAUCUCGUCUCACUGCAACUUCCGCCUCCCGGGUUCAAGCGAUUCUCCUGCCUCAGCCUCCCAAGUAGCUGGGAUUACAGAUGGAGUUCGCUCUUGUUGCCCAGGCUGGAAUGCAAUGGCAUGACCUUGGCUCACUGCAACCUCUGCCUCCCCAGUUCAAGUGGUUCUCCUGCCUCAGCCUCCCGAGUAGCUGAGAUUACAGGUACUGGCUCCUGUAUCACCCAGCUCUGGAGUUGAAAGAGCUCUUCAUUCCUGAGUCUCCUGUACCACUGAGAAUAGUUUCUUCAAAGGAAAGAAGCAACUGGAACACACAUAUAACACUAACCCUUCCAGCUGCAUUAUGAGGGACCAGUACCUGUCUCAAGGCAAAAUUAUGACUUAGUUCAUCCUCACCUCUGGAGGCCAGUAAAAGUGGGUUAUAGAAGAACAAAGAGGCAUCUAGAUCUUUCACUGGGUUAUUUGGAGAGAAACAUCUCCUACCGAAGGCCAGUUUAACAAGACUGGUAGAGGAGGUUAUCUUAUCUAAUUCACAGAAAUCAACACAUUGAGUCAAGAAAAAUGAAACACAGAAACACUCUAAAUAAAAGAAGAUAAGUCUUCAGAAACCAACCCUAAUGAAAUGAAGAUAUGUGAUUAACCUGACAGGAAAUUAAAAAGAGCAACCAUAAAGAGUCUCAUGGGAGCAAUGCAUGAACAAACUGAGAAUUUUCAUAAAGAAAUAAAAGAUAACAAAAAGUAUAAAGUUGAAGAAUACAAUAACUGGACUCAAAAAUUUAAUGUGUCCAACAGAAGAAUCGAUGAAGCAGAAGAAAGGGCUAUCAAACUUGUAGAUAGGCCAUUGGAAAUCAUGUAAUGUGAGGAGAAAAAAGAAAAAAGAUUGAAGAUAGU
Homo sapiens (human) is the source of this 1100-nucleotide long non-coding RNA. Ensembl annotates it as JPX transcript, XIST activator. Its record names the gene JPX. NCBI's taxonomy places the organism in Eukaryota, Metazoa, Chordata, Mammalia, Primates, Hominidae. The record is from Ensembl.